CCUCGAGACCGGGUGUUGUGGGGAAGCUCUGUACACCAUCGCAGCCAGGGUAGAGGGGACUCCCCCCACCGGGGGGGGGGGGAGACACAUCGAGCCUGGGUGUCCAGCGGGGAGCUCUGUACACCACAGCACUGAGGGCAGACGGGACUCUCCCCUCCGUGAGCCAGACGCCUCCAGCUCGGGUGUGUGGCGGGAGCUCUGUACACAACCGCACCAGAGCAGAGGGGACUCCCCGCUCUGGGGGCGAGACGCCUUGAGCCCAGGUGUCAGGGGGGAGCUCUGUAUACCACCGCACCCAGGGCAGAGGGAACUGCCCCCUCCAGGGGUGAGAUGCCUCAAGCCCGGGGGGCAGGGGAGCUCUGUAUACCACUGAACAAAGGGCAGAGGGGACUCCCCCCCCCUCUGGGGGCAAGACGCCUUGAGACCGGGUGUCUGGGGGGACCUCUGUACAGCACCUGACCAAUGGCAGAGAAGACCCCACCUCAGGGGGGCGAGAUGCCUGGAUCCCGGGUGUCUGGGAGGAGCUCUGUACAAAACUGCACCGAGGGCAGAGGGUACUCUCCCCUCAGGGUGCGAGAUGCCUGGAGCCCGGUUGUCCUGGGGAGCUCUGUACACCAUGGCACCCAGAGUAGAGGGGACUCCCCCAUUCAGGGAGGAGAAGUCUCAAGCUCAGGUGUCAGGGGGGAGCUCUGUACAACCUUGCAUCCAGGGUAGAGAGGACUUUCUCCUCCAGGGCCAGAUGCCUUGAGCCCAGGUGUGGGUGGGAGU
Molecule: long non-coding RNA, 768 nt
Filed under: Marmota monax (woodchuck)
Lineage: Eukaryota; Metazoa; Chordata; Mammalia; Rodentia; Sciuridae
Source: RNAcentral